RNAcentral lists this long non-coding RNA (1670 nucleotides) under Pan paniscus (pygmy chimpanzee). RNAcentral describes it as "lncRNA (ENSPPAG00000045565.1)". Lineage: Eukaryota; Metazoa; Chordata; Mammalia; Primates; Hominidae. The record is from RNAcentral.
GUCCACCCCUGGAGUGCAGUGAGCUCGGCUCCCUGCGGCUUUGACCUCCCGGGCUCAGGCAAUCCUCCCGCCUCAGUCCACGGAGUAGAUGGGACCACAGGAGCCCACCACGCCCGACUACUUUUUGUAAUUUUUGUAGGGAUGGGGUCUAGCCAUGCUGCCCAGGCUGGUCCGAACUGCUGGGCUCAAGAGCUCCGCCCGCCUCCGCCUCCCAAAGGGCAGGGAUCACAGGUGUGAGCUACCGCGCCCCGCCCAGAGUUUCCGACUGUUAGCGUGAAUCACAUUCACCUCAAAACUAUUUAUACAAGAACUGAAAGGCAAACCAAGUCCGUGCUCCAUCACUUCCUGUCCCAGGUCGCGGGGCCGGACAUUUUCUCCAAGCGCCUUCCUGGCACAGCGCGCAGGCGGCCUGCGCCAAAGCUCUCGCUUCCUCCAGGCUCCCAGACCCCGCCCGCCCCGCAGGCGCCAGGGCGUUGCCUGGCAACUUAGCUGCGAGGGGAUUGGCUGCGCGGGACCCCGUGACCAUCCCGGAGACCACGCAUUUCCUGCGCCCCCGGAAGUGGCGAUAAUGCCAGGCCCUGCCCUCGGCAGAGGCGGAAGCGGAGUCGGCCCUGAGAAGUCUCCCGUCGCUGCAGGCGCCUCAGCCCAGCCGCGUGCCUUGGCCCAUGGCCGCCUACUCUUACCGCCCCGGCCCUGGGGCAGGCCCUGGGCCUGCUGCAGGCGCGGCGCUGCCGGACCAGAGCUUCCUGUGGAACGUUUUCCAGAGGGUCGAUAAAGACAGGAGUGGAGUGAUAUCGGACACCGAGCUUCAGCAAGCUCUCUCCAACGGUGAAACUGCACUGAGAAGGUAUUUGUGGCCCGUAUGCUGAUUCAUUGAUGAGACCUCUUUGCACAGGAGAGCUGCUAAAAAUUACUGUGGUGAACAGGUAUGAAGAAGAAGACUGUUCUCUGCCCUUCUUUUUGCAAUAAAAUGUUACAAACUAUCUUGAGUUUGAUCCCUUUUCGGGUGUUUGGGUUUUUUUUAACAUUCACAUAUUUCUUGGAAUUAUAAGAAAUUAACUUUGUGCUUCUGAAGUGGGUUUGCCUUAAUAUAACACUGAUUAUUUGUAAGGGGCAUUUUUAAAGCUGUACUUUAAAAAAUAAUAAUUCUUACAUUCGUUUGAAGGUUUUUUGUUUGUUUGUUUGUUUGUUUGUUUGUUUUUGAGAUGAAGGCUUGCUCUGUCACCCAGGCUGGAGUGCAAUGGCAUUGAUCUUGGCUCACUGCAACCUCUGCAUCUGGAGUUCAAGCGAUUCUCCUGCCUCAGCCUCCUGAGUAGCUGGGACUACAGGCACCUGCCACCACGCCCAGCUAAUUUUUUGUAUUUUUAAUAGAGAUGGGGUUUCGCCGUGUUAGCCAGGAUGGUCUCAAUCUCCUGACCUCGUGGUCCGCCCACCUCAGCCUCCCAAAGUGCUGGGAUUACAGGCGUGAGCCAGGGGGCCAACGUGGUGAAACCCUAUCUCUACUAAAAAUACAAAAUUAGCUGGGAAUGGUGGUGUGCACCUGUAAUCCCAGCUACUCGGGAGGCUGAGGCAUGAGAAUCACUUGAACCCGGGAGGCAGAGGUUGCAGUGAGCUGAGAUAGCGCCACUGCACUCCAGCCUGGGGGACAGUGAGACUCCAUCUCAAAAAAA